RNA transcript from Triticum aestivum (bread wheat), 1948 nucleotides. It is a transcript of the gene named probable LRR receptor-like serine/threonine-protein kinase At1g63430, with no coding region annotated. The transcript has 2 exons. The record is from RefSeq and is a predicted model, not a curated record. Lineage: Eukaryota; Viridiplantae; Streptophyta; Magnoliopsida; Poales; Poaceae.
UAGGAUCUGAAUGGACGCAACUUCCGGUCUCCUCUGUCUUUAGGCGAGAGUUCUCAAAAUCCCCCUCAACCCCGUCUGCAUCAGGCAACUCCUCGACCACACCGCUGGCCUCCGCCCUCUCCGCACCGGCGACCUCCCCUCCCCUCCUCUCCCUUCCCUUCCCCCAUAUCGAGAAGGGAGGCCAUGGUGCUCCCGACAUGGCUGGAUCCAUACCAAGCCCGUGGGGUUCCAGCUCGACCUCCUCGCAUCGACCACGGCAGCGGGAUCCGCGGAUGCAUGGACACGGCGGUGCAAGCGCGCAGACGCAACCUUGAGAAGAGAGGAGGUAGGGCGGCCAUGGCGUUCCCGCCGCAGCAGGGUCACUGGCUCCACCACGAGCUCCUCGCAGUUGCCAGUGACGACGGCAGCUCCGAACCCUAGCGAUGCUCCUGCUCGUCUUUCUCCACACCUCUGCUCCUGCCCGUCUUCCUUGGCGCCAUAUUCAGCACCUACAAGAAUGCAACUUCCUCUCCCAUUAUAGGGGAUUGUAACUCCUCAAACCCCCAUCCUUCCUUCCCUUCCACUCUGCUCCGUGAUGCAAAAUUUUCUAUUUUUUUCAUGAUUCACCACUCGCAAUGGAGUUGCAAGCAGGAGGGACAUGGGUCAAGCAUCUGUAUGUGUUGCUGAAUUUGAUUGAUUGUUCUUGAUUGUUGAGUAAUUCCUGUUAGUUGUUACAUGUGAUUUUGCUGAAUUCAUUGUUGAUUGUUGAUUUUCGAGAGAAAAUCCAGGUGAGUGGUUGUAUGCUGGCGCUGGCUCAACCCGCAGUCAUUUUUAAAAUGUCUAAUCCGAGAAAAAAAAGGAAACACUAGCGGGCAGCACAGACGAUCACGGGCUCGUUCGAAGCGUAUGGGUAGGGCGGCGGUGCUGGCGCCGAUCUACACAGCGGCCUAUCUACUUCUCCGGCCAUCCGCCGCCGCCGGCCGGAUUCCUCCUGCUCAUGUGCCUCUGAUUUGGAUCGAAGUCACAGCAGCAGUGGUGCGGCGGCAGCGGGGGAGGAGGUGAGUGUGGCGGCUAUGGGUGGUGAGGCCUGAAGAUGAGGUUGUCCUUGUAGGAGGAUGCCGGGGACAGGCAUCGCGCUGAGGGUGGCGCAUCGAAGUUGGAGGUCGGCGUGUGUUCCGGCAGUGGGUGGAGGGGCAGCCGCGCGAUGGUGGGGAGAAGCUGGUUCAUGUCCAUGGCCGAACCAUCGGGGCUGGGGGUUUCUUCCCGGAUUGUUGAUGAAUAUACUUGGGGAUUUGUGAUUCUUGUGUCCCUUGAUGCGGUGCGAGAUUCAAUGGGAUUUGGGGCGAGGAAGAUGGUGGUGCGAUUCGGGGGGAUCAUGCCUCGGAUUCUUGGGGUCGCCGGGGAUGCGGUGGUUGAAGGAGAAGAUGGUGGAGGGAGGGAGGGAGGGAGGAGGAGGGGGAGGCUUCAGAUUUCAAAAAGAGACCUGGCUCGUUCGGUACUGCCAAUUCCUUUGGUGUGGAUUUUGAGUUGUUAAGAACCCUUGAUUGAUGCAAAUCUUAAUUUUGUUUUGUGUGGAGCAUUAGUGUUGGGGAUAUCUUGUUAAACAUCCAGUUCCCCUGACAUGCAUGAACUGUUCAGUAUAGGAUGCCCAUCUUAUGCAGCUAUGUUUGCUCUUUUUACAUUGUUUUCUAUCAUGUGUUAUGUUUGCAACAUUUCCCUAUACUCUGAUUGAUAACAUGUAUUUUGAUGUUUUUGCCUAAUUUGUGUGUGCCUUGGUUUUGUAGGAAGUUGUCAAAUCUUGGUCUGAAGGGAAUGUUAUCUCCUGAGAUUGGACAGCUUAAUAAUAUGCAUUUUCUAGGUUUGCGCACUUUUCCCCACAAGACUCGAUCUCCUCCGUUGGAUUUCUCGCACUACAUGGUGUUUGAGAAACGGAUGACCGAGACACAGUCUUCAGAAGCGAUAGCACCUU